GCUAACGUAGCUUAGAUUUAAAGCA
RNAcentral lists this transfer RNA (25 nucleotides) under Channa argus (northern snakehead). Its description in RNAcentral is "partial tRNA-Phe". Lineage: Eukaryota; Metazoa; Chordata; Actinopteri; Anabantiformes; Channidae. The record is from RNAcentral.